GAUGAACGCUGGCGGCGUGCCUAAUACAUGCCAGUCGAGCGAACAGAUGAGGAGCUUGCUCCUCUGACGUUAGCGGCGGACGGGUGAGUAACACGUGGAUAACCUACCUAUAAGACUGGGAUAACUUCGGGAAACCGGAGCUAAUACCGGAUAAUAUAUUGAACCGCAUGGUUCAAUAGUGAAAGACGGUUUUGCUGUCACUUAUAGAUGGAUCCGCGCCGCAUUAGCUAGUUGGUAAGGUAACGGCUUACCAAGGCAACGAUGCGUAGCCGACCUGAGAGGUUGAUCGGCCACACGGGAACUGAGACACGGUCCAGACUCCUACGGGAGGCAGCAGUAGGGAAUCUUCCGCAAUGGGCGAAAGCCUGACGGAGCAACGCCGCGUGAGUGAUGAAGGUCUUCGGAUCGUAAAACUCUGUUAUUAGGGAAGAACAAAUGUGUAAGUAACUAUGCACGUCUUGACGGUACCUAAUCAGAAAGCCACGGCUAACUACGUG
This 497-nucleotide ribosomal RNA is filed under the name uncultured bacterium. Its description in RNAcentral is "partial 16S ribosomal RNA". It matches the Rfam family "Bacterial small subunit ribosomal RNA", at positions 28 to 507 of the family's 1533-position model. The record is from RNAcentral.